ACGCCUUACACCCUCCCUCGUGCUCGGCCCCGCCCCGCGAGUCUGUGACAGUUGGAGGUUCGAAGUUCGAGGAUGCUCGCCUGUCGCUGCUGACUAGAAUGGACCCUGCCAGACUUCAGCCCCCGCGGGCAGAGACAGGCGCUAGGUGGCGGGAACGUAGCCCAGGCCGCUCCCAACGCGCGGCUGACUGGCUUUCCCGCUCGCCCCCAGAAGCGGAGACCCGGCAGAGCCUGCAGCGCACCGUGAAGGAGGAGUCUGCUGCUGAAUGUUCCAGCACCAACUGCUCCACCUUGCCUUGGAACAACAUUGGAAUCACCUCAAGUCACAAACAAGAAAAGGGAGAGAUGCCACGAGCCGAGCCUGAAGAUGGUCCUUCAUCUCUUUCCUGCUCCCUUUCUUCUCCCUGCUUACUUUCUCCUCCAUAGAUUAUUGUAGACCCUGGAUGGUGUAGCCCCAGGAGACAGUUACAUUGUAUCCUUCCCUGUUCCCUUCCUGCAUGUGCCCCAAUCACAAAACACUCUACGUUCUGCGUUGGCCACAUAGGGUAUGAAGCACUAUUUGCCCCACCUUCUCUUCCUGUUUGCUUUCCACUAUAAAUAAAGAGCUCAUGGUGCUCCAGGUGUCCAUUAGCUCCUGACAAGCUAUGGUUCCAUGUGGUCACAGCUUUCAAGAGUAAUCUUGGUCUCAUCAUCUUUUCUUCAUCUCCCACCACUCUUCCUGGCUUAGGACCCUAUGCUGUGCAGGUCACACCAGGCCUAAUGCAGUCUCAUGCCCAGUGUUCAGUCUUAAUGCACUUGAGAUAGGAACUCUUUCUCAAUUGACCCUAUGUUUUCCCUUAGACAACCUGGGUGAAUUUAAAGCAUUGCCAGUUGCAACAGCUAUAAUCUUAGUCUUUCAUUUUUUGUCUCCCUUCUGCAUCCUGAUUGUUAAAUGCAGAAAAGGCCAUAACUAGCAGUUAGCUAUAGGUGUUGGUGGACCCAUCUGAACGUUUUGUAAUUUACACCAAAUAUCUGGGGCUGAUUGACAAAUGAAAUGAAGUCCCACUAAUGCUUGCGCCUCCCUAGAAGAUGGAUCUAUAUUUAUGAAGGACUUUUAAUCAAUGAUGGAAGACAGUUGGAUUUUCCCCUGUAUGACCCUGUUCACCUUAAAAUUAAAAGAUUUUUAAGUGUA
Long non-coding RNA from Heterocephalus glaber (naked mole-rat), 1170 nucleotides. RefSeq lists it as uncharacterized. The record is from RefSeq and is a predicted model, not a curated record. Lineage: Eukaryota; Metazoa; Chordata; Mammalia; Rodentia; Bathyergidae.